UUCCUCUUCUGCAUCCUGUUCCUCUCCCUCCCUGCGUUGAAGGAGGGUGAGGGCAGAGAGCCCCGAGGGGAGCUGGGACCCUGGGGGAAGCAGCUCAGCCACGGGCUACACGUAACCAUGGUGACCAGCCGAGGACAACUCUAAGAAGAUGGCACACCCUGAUGGCAUUUCUUCUUCCCUCUCGCCCCCUGUACGCGGCUGUCCUGCCGGCUCCCAGGUCCGACCUGCCAUGAUUAGAAAGGCUCAGGAAGCAAGUUCGCACCUGUGCUGAAGAGGCAGAGUGGACAAUGAGAGAGAGAGACAGUGAGAAAGGUCUUCCUUUUCUGUUGGUUCACCCCGCAAUGGCUGCUGCGGCCGGUGCACCGCGCUGAUCCGAAGCCAGGAGCCAGGUGCUUCCUCCUGGUCUCCCAUGCAGGUGUAGGGCCCAAGCACUUGGGCCAUCCUCCACUGCACUCCCUGGCCACAGCAGAGAGCUGGCCUGGAAGAGGGACAGCCGGGACAGAAUCCGGUACCUGACUGGGACUAGAACCCGGUGUGCCUGCGCCGCAGGUGGAGAAUUAGCCUAGUGAGCCGCGGCACCGGCCUCUACCCAAUUUUCUACAGGAGGCUUGAACAUCCAUGGAUUUUGAUAUUCACAGGGGAUCCUGGAACCAAUCUUUAGAUCCAGAGGAAUGAGUGUAUUAAAAAAAAAAAAAAAAAAAAGGAAAGAAAGAAGGAAGAGAGAACGGGAGGAGGGGAAGGAAGAAGAGCCUGAUCCCCAAGUGCUCAUUUUUCUCUAAGUGUUUUCCCUCCUUCUUGUUCCGCGUUUGCCUCUCCAUCAAAAGGAUACUUCAGACCAUUCCCUACAAUAUGCCUUCAGAAACUCAGACCAGAACGUGGUCACACACCAUCCAGCAAAGUCUCUCUGGCUCCUGCAGCCACAGAUGGUCUCCCGGGUGCUAAUUGUGCACUCUCACUCUCGGGUAGCCGAGCCCACGGGACUUCCUCCCGCACUGCUGCUUCCAGACGCGGCCCUUCCCAUUGCCCUCACCUCUGAACUCCCCGCUUGCGCUGUUUUCAGGUCCUUGGUUAUAAAUAAUACACACAGUUCUUGAGGCAUCCGUUAAUUAAGUGCCCAACAAGUCGCUAAUUAAGGUGUCAAUAAAUUGUAUCCCAGUAAUAUUCCCAGAUGUGCUCUACGAAAUAAAAUCAAUGCUGUGGU
This is a non-coding RNA of Oryctolagus cuniculus (rabbit), 1201 nucleotides long. Lineage: Eukaryota; Metazoa; Chordata; Mammalia; Lagomorpha; Leporidae. The record is from RefSeq and is a predicted model, not a curated record.